RNA transcript from Pan troglodytes (chimpanzee), 3286 nucleotides. RefSeq lists it as uncharacterized. The record is from RefSeq and is a predicted model, not a curated record. The transcript has 4 exons. Lineage: Eukaryota; Metazoa; Chordata; Mammalia; Primates; Hominidae.
CCCGGGGCGGCGGGGUUGGCUCUAACGAAUUUGAAUGAGGAGCCUCAGCGCUUUCGGCGCCAUUUUCGAGUGAUGCCUGAUCUCAUCAAUCUAGCGGGAGAGACAGGAUAACCUGUCCGAGAGUAUAGCGCCACUAUGACUCCGCCGGAAAAAUUACUUUAAAAAUCGCCAAAAAUUACUUGGAGCAAAGGGCAGUCGGCGGAGCUUCGCCAAGGCUGGCGCAGUCGGUUUUGACCUGUAGCAGAGAACCAAUUCUGGAGAACAGCCUCACUUCUUUGAUUGAAUACUCACAUAAUGCACUGGAACAUGACAUGAGAUUAAGGUUUAAUAAUGAUAGAAUGAAGACCGCAAUAAAAGAGACCUCUACUUAGCUCAGCAAUUCUUACCUUGUAAGUAUUAACUCUGAGUUUCCCUAUCAUUGUCAUAAAAGGUUACUGUUUGGUGUCAUGUUCUGGUUUAUUUCUGAUUUUUUUCCCUGCUUAUCCUAUUAUGGUAACUUUCUAACCUCUCCUAGCCCCUCUACACGUUGAGAUUUGAUGUUAAUUAAUAGUUUAGAGCAAGAAUAAUGCCAUUGCCUUGGUAAGUUAUUUAGGGAAGUAUUUUAUACCCAGGCCCUAUAAUCUCCAAGUCUGAGAAUCACAGUUUUGAGCCCUUUUCCUUCAAAGGAAUUAACAAAUAGGUAAUUGUCUUUUUUAGUACUCAUUAUUCAGGUUUAUUGGUCUUAUGGUUUUAUAAAUUGAGAGUAUUCUCUCCACUUGAGAAAUGAUUUUGUAAAGUCUGUUUUUAAUUUCAUUAGGUUACACUUGAGACUUCUUUGUGAAGAGCUUAACAUUUAGCUGUUAAAACUUGAGGAGGCGUGAGCCACCUUGCCCUGCCUAAGAUGGGAUUUUUUUUAAAGCUGUUCAUUUGUGGAAUGUGGAUGUUCUAGAAGUUGUAGAACAGUGAUGUUCAUGUAUACAAUGCUGUCAAACAAUGGCAGUUUGGGGUUCAUUUUUACAAAUUAAAUAUAGAGAUGGAGUAUUUUUCAAGUUUAUUUUUCAAUUUAGAGUUCUUAAACUUUCGCUGCUUAACAAAAAAUUCAGAAAUAAUUAUAUGUCUUUAUUUCUUUUUCUUUUUUGAAUUAUUUUUAUUUUUCACAUUGCAUUUUCGAAUACAGACACUUAAAUUAUAUAUUUCUGUUUGUAAAUGUAAACAUAUGUUUACCUGCAAAUGUAAAUACAUGUUGACAUCUGUUAUGUAAAUUUAAAUAUAUAUUUGGUGCUUAAAAAAAUCUCAAAACAUUGUCAGCAGUUAAGAAUAUUACAUCUCUUUUUAAUAAUCUACAACAAUAAAAAUCUUAAAACAUUGACUUUAUAAAUAGGGAAAGAAAAGAUGAAGCAGAAAAUUCACCAGUGCUGUCAAUGUUAGUUCCAUAAACAAAAAUGAUAGAGAUAAAUUACUUCCUAAUUCCAAAGACUUAUUAAAUUUGGCUGCUAUCAAGAGCAAGGCUAGUAAAAAGAAAUAACAAAAACUAUUUCUCACAUAUGACUAGUUAUCAAUAUAAGUUUUUAGAAGUAUUAUCAGGUUAGCAAUAAAAGCAAUGGUUUGUAAUCAUAUCAGCCUAGAAAAUAUUGUCAAUUGUAAAUUAUAAAUAGUACAAACAUAGGACUGACUGAAAAUACUGCAAAAAAAAUCACAAUGUUUUUAUCAGUGGAGCAGUAAGUAAUCAAUAUAUGGCAAAUGAUAUAAAAUCUGUUGUGCUUUCAAUAAAACCAUAAUGAUGUAAUUAUAUUAUGCACUAGACAUAGCCAAAGUUUCUCUUAUUUUUAAUUAUUGUGAUAGAAAUUUACUCUUGUGUAAAUUGCUGUAUACCUGUGUCACUGAUGAGGAAAUUCUAAUUAUCUUGAAUAGUUUUAAAAAUGGGAAUGUUUCUGGGAGAAAGGAAUUUCCCAAAAGAGAAAAAAUAAAUUGCUCUUUUGGCAGUUGGAUUAGUGGUGAAGAGUGUUAUAACCCAAAAAAUUCAUAAAGGUACCAGCUAUUGUCAGCAUUUGGUAGUAAAGAGGAUGUCUUAUAAACCUAUUGAUAUGAUGAAGUGCCAUUAAUUUAGUAAAUAUAUAAAAUCUAGGCUCUUAUGUAUUCUAUAAUUUAUGAAUAUAGAGAAAGUUCACAAUAUGCUGCAGCUGUUUUUCAUUGUUCAAAUAAUUGCUAUUUUUGAGAAUUAGACAUUUAAUAAAAAUGCCAGGUGUUCCUUGUCCUCAUUCUUCCAUAUUUGUCUUAUAUAUGUUUAGCAAAAUAAUUGAGUUAAAUAUGAGCUUUUAUGCUUAAGCGAUGGCUGUGUUUUCGCUCUUAAUAAAAUUGCACCAUAAAAUUUGAUUUUUAGUGCCAAAAUUAUGAAAAGGGGUUGGGCUUGUUUCCUCAACCUGAACAACUUCUUACCUUCAAGAUGGAUGAUUCAAAGAGGAAUAAUAGGGAAUUUCUUAGUAUGAAGUUACUUGGUUGUUUUCUUAGGAAAACAAAAGGUAGAAUUUAACAGCAUGGGGCCUGAUUUAAAUAGAAAAUAAAUGUACAGAUAUAAUCAACUCUGCUGUCAUGGGGAUUUCAAGUUAUAAAUGCAAUAAGUAACAUCCCCUGACUUAUUCUAUGUACUUUUGCCCUAAUCUACUACCUAUUAGUCUGAAACUUGAGUUUUAAAAUUUAAUCUCUACGUAAAAGAGGAAUAAAUUGAAUGCAUAAUUAAAAUAUAUGUUGUCAAUUAUCACACCUUUUUGCCUAGACUAUAAGCUUCAUUUUUCUUGUUAUAUCCACUAAAUUAAUUUAUGCUUGUUUUUCCAUUAAAACAAGUUACUUUGGCUGGGUGCAGUGACUCACGCCUGUAAUCCCAGCACUUUGGGAGGCUGAGGUGGGCAGAUCAUGAGGUCAGGAGUUCGAGACCAGCCUGUCCAACAUGGUGAAACCCUGUCUCUACUAAAAAUACAAAAAUUAGCCGGGCAUGGUGGCCGGCACCUGUAGUCCCAGCUGCUUGGGAGGCUGAGGCAGGAGAAUUGCUUGAAACCAGAAGGCAGAGGUUGCUGUGAACCGAGAUCGCGUCACUGCACUCCCGCCUGGGCGAAAGAGUGAAACUCUGUCUCAAAAAUAAAUAAAUAAAUAAAUAACAAAAAUUAGCCAGGCAUGGUGGCGUGCACCUGUAAUCCCAGCUACUCAGGAGGCUGAGGCAGGAGAAUUGCUUAAACCUGGAAGGCAGAGGUUGCAGUGAGCUGAGAUUGCACCAUUGCACUCCAGCCUGGGUGACAGAGCAAGACUCCAUCUC